Pongo abelii (Sumatran orangutan) is the source of this 148-nucleotide unclassified non-coding RNA. It matches the Rfam family "Metazoan signal recognition particle RNA". Rfam says of the family: The signal recognition particle (SRP) is a universally conserved ribonucleoprotein. NCBI's taxonomy places the organism in Eukaryota, Metazoa, Chordata, Mammalia, Primates, Hominidae. The record is from Ensembl.
UCCAGGCAUGGUGGUGGGUGCUUGUAGUCUCAGCUACUCUGGAGGCUGAGGCAGGAGGAUUGCUUGAGCGCAGGAGGUCAAGGCUGCAGUGAGCUGUGAUCAUGCCACUGCACUCUAGCCUGAGCAACAGAGCAAGAUCCUGUCUUUA